RNAcentral lists this ribosomal RNA (497 nucleotides) under uncultured bacterium. RNAcentral describes it as "partial 16S ribosomal RNA". It matches the Rfam family "Bacterial small subunit ribosomal RNA", at positions 28 to 507 of the family's 1533-position model. The record is from RNAcentral.
GACGAACGCUGGCGGCGUGCCUAAUACAUGCAAGUUGAGCGAUGAAGAUUGGUGCUUGCACCAAUUUGAAGAGCAGCGCGCGGGUGAGUAACGCGUGGGGAAUCUGCCUUUGAGCGGGGGACAACAUUUGGAAACGAAUGCUAAUACCGCAUAACAACUUUAAACAUAAGUUUUAAGUUUGAAAGAUGCAAUUGCAUCACUCAAAGAUGAUCCCGCGUUGUAUUAGCUAGUUGGUGAGGUAAAGGCUCACCAAGGCGAUGAUACAUAGCCGACCUGAGAGGGGGAUCGGCCACAUUGGGACGGAGACACGGCCCACACUCCUGCGGGAGGCAGCAGUAGGGAAUCUUCGGCAAUGGAAGAAAGUCUGACCGAGCAACGCCGCGUGAGUGAAGAAGGUUUUCGGGUCGUAAAACUCUGUUGGUAGAGAAGAACGUUGGUGAGAGUGGAAAGCUCAUCAAGUGACGGUAACUACACAGAAAGGGACGGCUAACUACGUG